GGUAGGUGGUUUAAAUUAAUGUAAUUGGGGUAAUGAGAUAUUAAAAUUUAGAAUGAUAAUUUACUGAUGAAAAUAUAAUAUUUAUCCCUAUAUUUAACCCUGUAGAAGCUAGGAUAUUAUUAUAAAUAUGUUAGUCACCGCGGGGAAAACUUUGCUCAUUUUGAAUUCCUCGAUAACUCAUAUCGGUUUGCAGGUUGAUGAAUUUUAAGUAUCUGGUUAGCUCGCAUUAGUAACUUUGAUUUUAGCUAACUACGUCAAUUUAAAGUGGGCCUUACCCUGUACUCAAGCCCAAAACCAACAGUAUGCAAAAUAAGUUAAUAAACUUUAG
RNAcentral lists this unclassified non-coding RNA (328 nucleotides) under Moritella viscosa. RNAcentral's name for it is "putative sRNA". The record is from RNAcentral. Lineage: Bacteria; Pseudomonadati; Pseudomonadota; Gammaproteobacteria; Alteromonadales; Moritellaceae.